RNAcentral lists this unclassified non-coding RNA (335 nucleotides) under soil metagenome. Its description in RNAcentral is "partial contains 5.8S ribosomal RNA, internal transcribed spacer 2, and large subunit ribosomal RNA". The stretch from base 1 to 120 matches the Rfam family "5.8S ribosomal RNA", at positions 35 to 154 of the family's 154-position model. The record is from RNAcentral.
GAUGAAGAACGUAGCGAAAUGCGAUAAGUAAUGUGAAUUGCAGAAUUCAGUGAAUCAUCGAAUCUUUGAACGCACAUUGCGCCCGCCAGUAUUCUGGCGGGCAUGCCUGUUCGAGCGUCAUUUCAACCAUCAAGCCCCCGGCUUGUGUUGGGGACCUGCGGCUGCCGCAGGCCCUGAAAACCAGUGGCGGGCUCGCUAGUCACUCCGAGCGUAGUAAUACAUCUCGCUCAGGGCGUGCUGCGGGUUCCGGCCGUUAAAAAGCCUUAUUUACCCAAGGUUGACCUCGGAUCAGGUAGGAAGACCCGCUGAACUUUAGCAUAUCAAUAAGCGGAGGA